CGUUCUUUGAUUAACCAAUCAGCGUAUGAGGUUGGUUGUUUGCGGAAGUAAUACAACUGUUGCCGCCUUAUGUUUGAACGAGCUCUACGCGUGUAAAAGUGGCCAUUUGACGCUUACUACGGUUCAAAAAACAUGAAACAGAGUCGGUGAGCAUGGAGAGUCCCAAGGGUUCAGAGGUGGAGUCGGGAGUGAGCAUGAACCCACACAAGCGCCUUUGCACCGCUAACAAUAGACCAGGAACAGCAUUGAGUGAAGUAGUGGACGUGAGUAUCAUCAUGCCAAUGUACAACGCCUCCCUUUGGCUGGACGAGUGUCUGCAGGCCAUAUUUGACCAAGACUUCACCGGGUCAAUGGAACUUUCUGUUUUCGAUGACGCCAGCACUGAUGACUCCAGAAAAGUGGUGGAAGCUUGGAGGCAGAAGUUGGAGGGGAGGAGCAUCUCAGUGGUGAUCAGUGGCCACAACUCACAGCAGCCAAGAGGAGUGGGAUAUGCAAAGAAUAAGGCAGUAGCGCAGAGCUGUGGAAAAUACUUGUGCUUUCAGGAUGCAGAUGACGUCAUGUUGCCCCAAAGGGUUCAGCUGCAGUACAAGGCAUCUGUCUUUCACUCAAACUCUCUGAUCGGCUGUAGAGUCCAAAGGCUUCCUGAGGGAUCCACAGAACGUUAUACCCGCUGGAUCAACACGAUCACACAGGAUCAGCUUCUCACACAAGUGUACACCUCGCAUGGACCAACUGUCAUUAUGCCAACGUGGUUCUGCUCAAGACACUGGUUCUCCAAUGUUGGAUGGUUUAGCGAGGAAAGCAAGGGAGUCCCUGAGGACUUGAUCUUCUUUUACCAGAGUCUUCGUCAAGGAGGGGGUGUGACCAGAGUUGACCAGUGCCUGGUGGUGUACCGUUACCAUGAGAAGGCCACCACACACUCUGUGAAAGAGGAAACCAUUUGGAACCUGCGAGUUGGAUUCCUUCAGGAGAGGGUUAUUAGCCAAUGGGAGAGUUUCACCAUUUGGAAUGCUGGCAAACAAGGCCGCAAGCUGUACCGAUACCUCAACGCCACCAAUCAGAAGAAAGUCAAAGCUUUCUGUGAUGUGGACAAAAACAAGAUUGAUAAAGGCUUUUAUACAUAUGAGGACUCCAAGGAACAACCGAAGCCAAAAAUUCAAAUUCUGCACUACAAAGAUGCGUCCCCACCUUUUAUCAUCUGUGUCAAACUGGACAUGACAGGCGGCAUUCUGGAGGAAAACCUCAAGUCAUUGCAGUUGAAAGAAGGAACAGAUUUCUUCCAUUUCAACUGACAGCUUGGAGAAGCAUCAGAGAACAAGACUGGUGUGUCACUGCAUGGCUCUUGGGCAUGAACUUCACCAGAGUUGCAUAGGUCUCGAGGAGACAUACUUGGCCACUUCAUCACCUUCUUGGAGUUAACCACAACUCCCCAGUGCCAGCAACACUCAUGCUGCCCCAGACCAUGACUCUACAACCACCGUGCCUGACAAAUUGCCUUGCUACUCACUUGUGUCCAUCUUUUUAGACAAUGAAGGCUGUGUAUUGAGUAAUUUUCAGUGAGUAAGAAAUCUAUACUGCAACACAAGCUGUACACUGACUACUCUAAGGUAAAUUAGAGUUACAUUUUUAUUUCUUUAGUAUUGUCCUCUUUAAAGAUAUACUGUAGUAAAAAUUGUUGUGGAAAUGUUAGUAUACUGUUGGAAUAGGAAAUAUGUGCUCAUUGCAAUUGUUAAACAGUCUUUUUAAUGGGUUUAUGUGAAUAAGUAGCUCUUUCCUACAAGUGUGGUGUGAUGAUGCAUGUACUGCUGGCUUUUUGCCUUCAGCUGAUUUAGCGUGUACAUUAGAGCUGCAGCUAUCAAAUAUUUUAACAAUCUAUCAAUUAGUUUGUUCGUGUAAUCGGAUAAAACCCACUUUAUAUCCCUCAAUGCAACAUUGAAAUUGCAUUUUUAACGUGUACAUUAAUAAAAAAUUUAAAGAAAAAAACUUUCCAUUCUUAGCCGCAACACAGAUCUGGGAACCCACACACAAUUGCUCUCAUGUGCGCUCUAUUGCAGCAGCCGUGCAGGAAACUCUGUUUGGGUAUUUAAAGUUACGGGCACUCCAUGCGGUGCAGAUUUUAUACAUUUUCAUAAUAAUAAUUAUUGAAUAAUCGAAUCAACAUAAUAUAAAUCAAUCCUUUUUUUAAUCGAUUAAUCGUUGCAGCCCUUCUGCACAUUUUAUAUAGUGCAUAUUCUCCUGAAAACCAGUGUCCUCUGUAGUGGACAUUUGUGUUUUGCUGGACAAGGGUUUUUUCCCUGACAUUUUGAAUUCAGAUAAAAGAAAUAGACAGAAACAAAUGUCCACUGCAAAGGACGGUGGUUUCUUAUAUUAAUGGUGGCCCAAUGUUGUUAGAUGACAUGAUGACUACAUAUUUAAAUGACUAAGGGCAUCAAAGUACAGUGUUGACCUUCUCACUUGAACUUGUAGAGAUGUUGAUGAAAGUUGUGAGCAAGUGAGUAUAUCAUCAGAACAUUGAGGUUAUAAUGGGUGUGGUCAUACACAACAUUUGCUACACAGCCCACACAUCUGCUCCAAACAUGGACACAGUUUGUUCUUGUUUCUGAGUUGCCUAUGAAACAACAUUCCCUCCAAGAGAGAGCACAGCCCUGAUACAUAAACACUCACAAAAAGUUUAUUUUGCCUCACAGAGCGUGACGCUUUUCAGCCUGCAGCCAAACAGACCUUUGACCACAAAUCUUCACAAGUGUUCCUGCCUUUCUUUAUAUUUACAAGCUGCAGCAACACUACAGGAUUGUGUUUAAUGUAGGUCUGAUACUGCUGAUAGUUUAACACUUAAAAAAUCAUGAGUGUGUUCUUCAGAUCUGACAUCAAAACUCUGCACCUAUAAUUGCUGUUAUUGUCCUGAACAAGUUUAUUUGUCGUUUGAUCUCUGAAA
Entelurus aequoreus (snake pipefish) is the source of this 2935-nucleotide RNA transcript. It is a transcript of the gene named UDP-GlcNAc:betaGal beta-1,3-N-acetylglucosaminyltransferase-like 1, with no coding region annotated. The record is from RefSeq and is a predicted model, not a curated record. The transcript has 15 exons. NCBI's taxonomy places the organism in Eukaryota, Metazoa, Chordata, Actinopteri, Syngnathiformes, Syngnathidae.